CGAAUCCGCGCGGCGCCGUCACAUCCCGCUCGGGUCACCUUAGCGCUCCCCCCCCUUCCCCCCCGCCCGGCCGGCAUCUCCAUCCACCCCGCGUCUCCGACGGUGGUACCUGGGAAACGAAGAGCCGCGGUCAUGUCCUUCGCCGCGGCGAUACUCGGGGCGCUGAUGCUGCAGUCCGUCUCCUCUCAGAACGAGCCGUCAAUCGCCACCUCCGAACACAUCACACUUCCUGUGGAAGGUGACGCUUUCACACUGCAGUGCAACCUGACCACCACCCACAGUCCCCACCAGGAGAGCUACUGGACGAAGAAUGGGGAGGAGAUCGAGGAAACCCGCAGUCUGAAUAAGAACACCGAGUACAGGCUGAACAAACCAAGGGGAGACGACGCUGGAGUGUACAUGUGUGUCUACACCUUUGAGAUGGCUCCUGCGGCCAAUGCCACCAUUGAAGUUAAAUCUGCUCCUGACAUUACAGGCCACAAGCGUAGUGAGAAUAAGAACGAGGGCCAGCUUGCUAUACUAUACUGUAAGUCUGUGGGCUAUCCUCACCCUGUCUGGACCUGGCGGAAGUUCGAGAAUGGCGCUUUGAGGGAAAUCGACAACUCAACCGGACGCUUCUUCAUCAGCAGCAGAGACAACUACACAGAGCUCCAGAUUACUAACCUGGAUAUUAGUUUAGAUCCAGGCGAGUACCACUGCAACGCCACAAACAUGAUCAGCAGCCGCGACGAGAAGUCUGUGCUGAGGGUCCGCAGCCACUUGGCGCCCUUGUGGCCUCUCCUGGGGGUUUUGGCCGAGAUCAUCAUCCUGGUCAUCAUCAUCGUUGUUUAUGAGAAGCGUAAGAAGCCAGAUGAUUUACAGGAUGUCCACAGCACAGGACAACGUUCUGUUUAGCUUCCUCCAUCUUCAGCAUUAGUAUGAUGACCCAGCUGGACCAGUGAAAACUAAUUCAACCAACAACCACAAAGACAAGAACCUUCGCCAGAGGAAUACAAACUGAACAGCCUGUCUGUUGAGUUUCAUUACACAUGUAUUGACCAUAUGAAGGUAAUCAAGAAGAGAAUCCAUACCAGUUGAUCACAGGAUGUAUCUUCCAUUGAACGUAUGGUUGUGGAGGAGUUAAAUGAGGCAUGCCUUAUGAUUGUGUGAGAUGAGGAGGUGCAUUAUAGGAUUGUUAACAUUAUAAUCACCGUUGCUGCAUGCAGGUAUUGACGUUUAUGUUUUUUUCUCCCUCUCAUCCACUAAUUUUGAAUUUUCACUACUUCUAAAGUAAUGCAUGCAAGAUGUUGACCUUCUGUUUGAUACAGAAAGGGCUUUUUUUGUUUGUGUCUCUGAGAGUGGCUUCAUGUAGAUAAUCUGUACUGUGUUCUAGAGGAAAAACAAAACUCGGCAAUGUAAAAGCAAAUGCCACAGUAAUCUGGUAUGACAGUUGUGUACAGUUUUAUCAUCCCACCUCAUACCAUUUUCUAAGUUUCAUUUAAUUUUCCAAGUUUUAUCAGACAAUAUGUAUGACAUUUUAAGGGCUUUGCAAUGUCCCUAUAAAUUUGGUUAAGGUUUACUUUGCUGUAUGUAUGUACUGUAUGUUUUAAAUCACUAUAACUGUGUAUCAAAUCAUUAAUAUAAAGACUAUUCAUAUUAUAUGAUGCACUUAAAUGUUGACAAUAAUGAAAAACUAUAUAAACUUUAGGAAAUCUGUUAUAAUCAUUCUAACAUAUUGUUUUGUAACUAUGUGUAUUGUACAGCAUGGCUAUUAUCCUAUGCAAUUAUUAUCCAUAUCGAUAUAUUGAAAAUCAUCGCAGCUUUUGAUUUCUCUGUGACAAAGCUUUAAACUAGUAGGAUCACCAUAUUGCGUUGACGGCAUACUACAGCUGCAUGAAUUAUCCACAGCCGACGUGGGAGGAGGCGAGCGAAGGCCCACGUCAAGACUGACACGUGAAGCAAUUCUAAAAUCUCUGAGUCAUUUUUAAGAAUAAAUAUCUCGAAAAGGA
RNA transcript from Scophthalmus maximus (turbot), 1988 nucleotides. It is a transcript of the gene named neuroplastin, with no coding region annotated. The transcript has 9 exons. Lineage: Eukaryota; Metazoa; Chordata; Actinopteri; Pleuronectiformes; Scophthalmidae. The record is from RefSeq and is a predicted model, not a curated record.